ACGGGAGGCAGCAGUGGGGAAUCUUGCGCAAUGGGCGAAAGCCUGACGCAGCGACGCCGCGUGCGGGAGGACGGCCUUCGGGUCGUAAACCGCUGUUGCCCGGGACGAAUGCCCCUUUCGAGGGGAUUGACGGUACCGGGUGAGGAAGCACCGGCUAACUCCGUGCCAGCAGCCGCGGUAAUACGGAGGGUGCGAGCGUUGUCCGGAAUCACUGGGCGUAAAGGGCGCGUAGGCGGCUCUAGGAAGGCGGCGGUGAAAGCCCGGGGCUCAACCCCGGGUCGGCCGUGGCGACUCCUGAGCUGGAGCACGGUAGAGGCGGGUGGAAUUCCGGGUGUAGCGGUGGAAUGCGUAGAGAUCCGGAAGAACACCGGUGGCGAAGGCGGCCCGCUGGGCCGUGGCUGACGCUGAGGCGCGACAGCGUGGGGAGCAAACAGGAUUAGAUACCCUGGUA
RNAcentral lists this ribosomal RNA (451 nucleotides) under uncultured Gemmatimonas sp. RNAcentral's name for it is "bacterial SSU rRNA". It matches the Rfam family "Bacterial small subunit ribosomal RNA", at positions 341 to 792 of the family's 1533-position model. The record is from RNAcentral. Lineage: Bacteria; Pseudomonadati; Gemmatimonadota; Gemmatimonadia; Gemmatimonadales; Gemmatimonadaceae.